UACGGAGGGUGCAAGCGUUAUCCGGAUUCACUGGGCUUAAAGGGUGCGUAGGCGGGCAGGUAAGUCAGUGGUGAAAUCUUUGGGCUUAACCCGAAAACUGCCAUUGAUACUAUUUGUCUUGAAUAUUGUGGAGGUUAGCGGAAUAUGUCAUGUAGCGGUGAAAUGCUUAGAUAUGACAUAGAACACCAAUUGCGAAGGCAGCUAACUACGCACAUAUUGACGCUGAGGCACGAAAGCGUGGAGAUCAAACAGG
This 253-nucleotide ribosomal RNA is filed under the name uncultured bacterium. RNAcentral describes it as "partial 16S ribosomal RNA". It matches the Rfam family "Bacterial small subunit ribosomal RNA", at positions 524 to 776 of the family's 1533-position model. The record is from RNAcentral.